UACGUAGGGUGCGAGCGUUAAUCGGAAUUACUGGGCGUAAAGCGUGCGUAGGCGGUCCGCGAAGUCUGAUGUGAAAGCCCCGGGCUCAACCUGGGAACUGCAUUGGAAACUGACGGGCUCGAGUGUGGCAGAGGGGGGUGGAAUUCCAGGUGUAGCAGUGAAAUGCGUAGAGAUCUGGAGGAACACCGAUGGCGAAGGCAGCCCCCUGGGCUAACACUGACGCUCAUGCACGAAAGCGUGGGGAGCAAACAGG
Molecule: ribosomal RNA, 253 nt
Filed under: uncultured bacterium
Lineage: Bacteria
Description: partial 16S ribosomal RNA
Rfam family: Bacterial small subunit ribosomal RNA
Source: RNAcentral